This 491-nucleotide ribosomal RNA is filed under the name uncultured bacterium. RNAcentral describes it as "partial 16S ribosomal RNA". It matches the Rfam family "Bacterial small subunit ribosomal RNA", at positions 29 to 507 of the family's 1533-position model. The record is from RNAcentral.
AGUGAACGCUGGCGGUAGGCCUAACACAUGCAAGUCGAACGGCAGCACAGUAAGAGCUUGCUCUUACGGGUGGCGAGUGGCGGACGGGUGAGGAAUACAUCGGAAUCUACUUUUUCGUGGGGGAUAACGUAGGGAAACUUACGCUAAUACCGCAUACGACCUACGGGUGAAAGCAGGGGAUCUUCGGACCUUGCGCGAUUGAAUGAGCCGAUGUCGGAUUAGCUAGUUGGCGGGGUAAAGGCCCACCAAGGCGACGAUCCGUAGCUGGUCUGAGAGGAUGAUCGGCCACACUGAACCGGGAAACGGUCCCAGCCUCCAACGGGAGGCAGCAGUGGGAAAUAUUGGACAAUGGGGCAAGCCUGAUCCAGCCAUACCGCGUGGGUGAAGAAGGCCUUCGGGUUGUAAAGCCCUUUUGUUGGGAAAGAAAAGCAGCAGGUUAAUACCCCGCUGUUCUGACGGUACCCAAAGAAUAAGCACCGGCUAACUUCGUG